AAUGAACGCUGGCGGCAUGCCUAACACAUGCAAGUCGAACGAGACCUUCGGGACUAGUGGCGCACGGGUGCGUAACGCGUGGGAACCUGCCCUUAGGUUCGGAAUAACUCCCCGAAAGGGGUGCUAAUACCGGAUAAUGUCUUCGGACCAAAGAUUUAUCGCCUUUGGAUGGGCCCGCGUUGGAUUAGCUAGUUGGUAGGGUAAAAGCCUACCAAGGCGACGAUCCAUAGCUGGUCUGAGAGGAAGAUCAGCCACACUGGGACUGAGACACGGCCCAGACUCCUACGGGAGGCAGCAGUGGCGAAUAUUGGACAAUGGGCGAAAGCCUGAACCAGCAAUGCCGCGUGAGUGAUGAAGGCCUUAGGGUUGUAAAGCUCUUUUACCCGGGAUGAUAAUGACAGUACCGGGAGAAUAAGCCCCGGCUAACUCCGUG
RNAcentral lists this ribosomal RNA (433 nucleotides) under uncultured bacterium. Its description in RNAcentral is "partial 16S ribosomal RNA". It matches the Rfam family "Bacterial small subunit ribosomal RNA", at positions 29 to 507 of the family's 1533-position model. The record is from RNAcentral.